GACGAACGCUGGCGGCGUGCUUAACACAUGCAAGUCGAACGAUGAAGUUCCUUCGGGAAUGGAUUAGUGGCGAACGGGUGAGAAACACGUGAGAAACCUGCCUUUCAUUUUGGGAUAACUCCGGGAAACCGGAGCUAACACCGAAUACUCCGUCUCGGCGGCAUCGCUGAGCCGGGAAAAAAUUUUGAUGAAAGAUGGUCUCGCGGCCUAUCAGCUAGUUGGUGAGGUAAUGGCUCACCAAGGCGACGACGGGUAGCCGGCCUGAGAGGGCGACGGGCCACACUGGGACUGAGACACGGCCCAGACUCCUACGGGAGGCAGCAGUGGGGAAUAUUGGGCAAUGGGCGCAAGCCUGACCCAGCGACGCCGCGUGAGGGAUGAAGGCCUUCGGGUUGUAAACCUCUUUCAGUAGGGAAGAAGCGAAAGUGACGGUACCUAAAGAAGAAGCACCGGCUAACUAUGUGCCAGCAGCCGCCGUAA
RNAcentral lists this ribosomal RNA (480 nucleotides) under uncultured bacterium. RNAcentral's name for it is "partial 16S ribosomal RNA". It matches the Rfam family "Bacterial small subunit ribosomal RNA", at positions 28 to 523 of the family's 1533-position model. The record is from RNAcentral.